UCGAACAGAAAGUCUUUCUACACUGUCAUGAUCAUAUCUUCUUGCUGCUCGUCUAAUUCCCAUGCUAUAGACAAAAGAUGUAUACAAAUCAAUUACAGUUUCUUCUGAAGAUGAUUAAAACACCAAUUCGAUUCCUUCGAAUUAUAUCCAAACUUUGAACAGAUUUCAAAUCAGGUAAAAUCCACAAGCUUUGGCAAGGUCAAUCUUGCGAGGAAGAUCCAAAAAAUAUCAAAUCAACUCCUUUGAAGAAGGUCCAAACUAGAAAGAAUGAAUCACAAACAGUCCGCAGUCUCCUGUGCAUUUCAUUCAAUCUGUUGCAGGACAAAAUAAGUAUCUCCAAUACAGACAACACAUGCCCACAGACCAAAGCCUCGAAUUCCACCAAAAUCCAAUUGCUCAGCAAGCCGUAGAUAACCCUAAUUAAAUCCUAAACGAACACUAAACUCUGGGAAUCUAUAAUUGCACAUAAUCAAAAAGUAGUAAGUCCAAAAUUACAGACAGCUGGAUAUUUUUUGAAAUCGACCAGGAGCCAACCAAAAAUAGCAGCCGAUCUUCAAAAUCAAGAAACAAAAACCUAGAAUUUUAUUCUUCCAGCAUAUUCUUUUUUGCGUUCUCACCAAAAAAAAUAAUAAACCCUAAGGCCUAAACAUGUUUUUCCAAGGUAUAUCCAAACUAGAAUAAAUACUAAAAAAUUUAAUUCCAUGUUUAUAGAUAUUCCCUUUUCACCAAUACCAAAGCCCUCGACUUUCAACUUUCUGGUCCUCGAAAUUCCAGGAAAAAUCCAAUCAUCGAAAGCCCACUUUCAUGAGCAAUCCUUAAAUAACCCUAAUUAAACCCUAAACCUAAGAAUCAGAAAAAUGAAGAUAACCGCGACGCAGCAAUUCCAGAAACAGAGAAAGCUUCCGCAUUAUCGAAAAGUGGGCGAGAAGAAACACUAGAAAUCUAAUGGCAGGUGAGUAAGCGUAGGUAGGAGAAAACGAGCUGAAAUCGAUCAUCAUCAUUAUCUUCUGAAUUGAUUCUAAGGAAACGAGGAGAAAGCAAACCUGAGACUUAGAUAUAAUUGGAUUUCAGCGAUCUUGCUAAAACAACUGCUGGAACUGGUGAAGGAAAGCACAAGGCGGAGCUUGGAUUUGUUACUGAGCGGAAUGAGAUUGAAAUAUUGGAUGGAUUUAGAUGAUAAUUGAUUUUAUCAAUGAGGGCGUUUCAGGGGUAGGCCUUAUGAGUUUAUAUAAACAGGCGGCAGCGGGUAAGAGUAACAAUAACAAACAGAGUCUGUGUUUAAUCGCGGCAUUGCCGUGAUUAACAAUUAACAAUUUUUUUAAAAAAUUAAAUAAAUAAUAAGUACAUCCUUUACUUUUUAUUUAAUGAAAAUAUUACUCAUUAUUUAUCCCUUGUCAAGUUAAUAUUAAAUUCCUAAUUAAAGAAGAAUCUUAAUUAAGGGACUAUCCUUUUUUUAUUAAAUCAAAUAGUGAUAAAUAUUUAUAAAUUUGCUUAUUUAUAUCAAAUUCCUCAUUAAAGUAUAGUAAUGAAUUCAUAUUCAUACUUGAAUUCAUGUUAUAUCACUUUACUGGUAUAAACUUUACUAUGUAAUGUAAACAAAAGAAAAGCAUCAACACUUUUAUUCGAUGCAAUCAAAUGUUUAACUUAAAUAUUUAAUUUAUUAAUUGAUACAUAAUUUUUUCACUUUCAAAAUAAGAUUCGAAUCUCUUUCUUAAUUCUUAAAAAAAAUCAAAAUACUUUUAUAUGAUAAUCAGUUUCUAUAAUUUGUAUUUAAUUGAUAAUUCGUUAUGAAAGUAGUCAACUAUUUAAUUAUUAUAGGUAAAAUACCUUACUAUCUAAAUUUUAAUCGAAAUUUUAAACAGGUAUAUUAGUUUUCGAAAAUGAACAUUCUAUCUCAAAAGUACAAAUAACGUUAACAGAGAUUAUAAAUUGAUUAAAAUGUCAUUUCUUUCUUUAUUAAUUUAAAAAGUUAUUAUUAUAUUUUAAAAAAAUACAAAAAAUUACUAGCUUCCUAAGAAAGGAGCCACAAAUGGUGCUCCCCGAGAUAGCAUAAGAUUUAUGCUUCUUAGAUGGUUUUUUUUAAUUAAUAAAAAAGUUAAUCAAAAAUUAAUAAAGUUAUAUAAUAAUAAUUUUAUAAAUUAAUUAAAAGUAAAAUUAUUUUUUUAUUCUUGCAACGUCAUUAAACUAACGAAAACACUAACGAUUAAAACUAUAUAUCCAGCGAAAUAUAUUUUUUAAAAAUAAAAUAUUUAUUUUGAAAACUAAUAUACCCCCAUAUAAUUUCAAUUAAAACUUAAAAAUAAAGAUAUUUUACUCAAUUAUUAUUUAUUUUUUAAUAGAAUCAACAUUUCAGUGAGCAAAUAAAUCAUGCCAAUUACAGAGGUAUUUUCGGUGCUAAUGAAACAAACAUCCAUAUAAGAUAAGCCUAAAACACUCACGAUUGCACAAUCUUAGGUGUGUGAUUUGGCUGACCUCCCCAUUCACAUUCACAUCCACAUAGUUGUCACCCAGUGGCACCACAGAAGCAAUCUGCAAUCAUCCGAAAUGGCUGUCUAGCAACUUUUAACCUUAAGAACCAAAAGGACUGACCUAUCCAUCUAAAACCGCAGCAAUGCUUUUGUCAUCAUCUGCAAGGUGAUGCCUAAUAACUCUUUUUUGUUCAUCCAACUUGUAAUAGGCUCUAAAUUCAGAGCUAGAAAAGAAGGUCUCCAAGUCUGUGAUUUCAUAUUCUACAGCCUUGGCUUGCAGAUCUAGUUAAAAAUCAAUUAUAUGUUUCUUUUUUACCAAAAAAUGCUAUGUUUAUUGAUCUAUAUUUUGUGAAGUAGUAAUUUUUCACAAUUUUUUUAAAGGAAAAUAUGACUGAUAUUAAAACUUUUCUAGUGUAAAUAUAAAAUAGAGCAUCAAUGCUUUGAUGUAGUUUGUUUUAUGAUCAACUUCUGUUUUUCUUUAAUUCAUGAUCCAUUAUUAAUUAUUAAAUUAAAAUUAGAGUCAUUGGAUCAUGUUCAUGGUCUAAUAUGUAAAUUUUCUCUCCUUUAAGAAAAGAGUUUUAGGUACACAUUGCAUUAAAUCUAUCACUAGGAUUCCUAAUAAGUUGCCGACCAGCUCAAGUUUAAAUGAUUUCAAAGAGUUGUCUGUCUCAGACGAGUACAAGACCGUUUAGGAAAUAUUAGUACACACAAAGUGCAAGUGGCAUUAGCUGACGUGAAUGGAUUGCUUCUCAGCUCAGGCAAGUUAUUUAACUGAUGAUAAUGCUAUCCAAUGCAUGCUGCAGCAGGGGAUUUUGCCUGCGCAAUGGACAGUAAUUCAAGCACAACAAGUUUACAGAAGCAAAACACAACUGUCUAAUAAUACAAGCAUAACCCGCUAAUGCCACAACAAUGUUGGCAGUCCUGUUCUUACACUUCCUACAUUCUUGUCUGGAUUAACAUUCAACAUCUGGUUUACCUAGGACCUGAUAAUAUUGAGGGUAAUGCUAUAGACAUGGUACCCGCUCUGCUGCAUGGAGCUGCAGGUGCUUGCGGAUUGAGAAAAUCGUAAAUUAAAUUGGGUUUAACAUCCAUGAAAUCUUCCAAAACACGUAAUACAUCUGUCAUGCAAGGCCUUCUAGUAUAAUCAACUUGCAAACACCAUGCUGCAAUCCUCAUCAUCUUCACAACCUCUGCUUCGUUUGGCUGCAUGUCUUCGCUCAUCUUAUCAACCAGAUCCAAAAGCUUCCCCUCCUCCGCCUUUUUCCUAAAAAAGCUUAGUAAGCGCAUCUCUUCUUCUGGCUGAGAUCUAUCCACAUUUCUCCAACCACACAAGAUCUCCAAGACCACAAUGCCAAAGCUGUAAACAUCUACUUUCUCCGUGAUGACAGCACUUGACCAUUCAGGAGCCAUGUAACCCGGUGUGCCUCUCAUUGUUGUGAAGGCUUUGUCUUGGUCCCUGGCAAUUACUUUUGACAAUCCAAAAUCCGGAAGUUGUGCAUCAAAAUUUUCAUCUAACAGAAUGCUUUGGGGUUUGAUGUCUAAGUGUAAAAUUUUCUGUGUCCAACCCUCGUGAAGAUACGCCAGUCCUCUGGCUAUAUCAAGGAUGAUUUUCCGCCUCAAAUUCCAACUUAGACGGAGUUCUCUGUCUCUGGGAAAGAUCCAUUUAUCCAGAGAACCAUUGUGCAUGUACUCAUAAACGAGAAGCCAAUGGGAUUUCUCGGCACAAAACCCAAUCAGUGUCACCAAAUUAAUAUGAUGAACGCUUCCUAACGUCUCAACUUCAGCUAAAAGUGACUCUCUGAAGUGACCAGGGCCAUCAAGACGCUUCACUGCUUUUUUAGCACCGUUUGGCAGAGUUCCAUAGAAAACAGAACCAAAACCCCCUUCACCAAGCUUCGCACUGAAAUCCUGUGUCAUGGCCUUCAAGUCUUCAAAAGAGAAUCUAGUGAAUCUCUUCCAAACAGCUUUUGAGUCUUUUUUUUUAAGUUCUGCGCAAGGUAUUCUUAACAGCUUUUAGAUCGAUCUUAUUUCCACGCAAGAAGAAGAUGCCAACUACUAGAAACAGGGUAAAAAGGACUCCAAGGGUUGAUCCUAGUACAGCUGCUUUACGUCUUGAUCCUUUUUCUUGAGCAGAGGACGUGCUGGGCCCAGGUGCCGCAGACGUGCUUCGUGUAUGUUGCACUUUUAUAUAUGAAAAACUGUUAUAAUCAUUAAUAUUCUCCUCAUCUCUUUUGAAUGAAAAGAUUUUAGACAGAAGACAACAAUACCCAUUUGAUGAAUUCCGUUGCUGUCGAUAUAUAGCAACUUUGCAUGAACAAUUCUGCAAACAGGUCUCCUUGCAAUUUUCUCUAUCUGUAUUCUUGAUAUGAGGGAUGAAAUUGAAUUAAUCAUAGUCCUUAAGCUCAAGUAAGCUAUGACUAUGAAGAUCGGGAGGCUCGCAAGAAAGAGGUAUAUUUUCAUGACAUCCAAGAUUCGAACGCUCUUCAGAUGCCUGGCUGAAGUAAAGUACUGAUUCAUUUCCCUCCGCUUUUGGACAAGUGCAACUCCCAGCUGAACAAACGCUCCACACAAUAAGGGGAAACCACAUGCACCAGUGUAUUUAAUCAGAAGGUCAGAUACUGGCUUCCAUUUUGAUUCUCUCAAUUGAUAAGCCCUCAAAUGUCCAUCACUCUCUAGUUGAAUGAACUGUGCCGCAGACGUAGAAGGAAGCAGAAAACGAUCAAAACUUCCAUUUACAUAUUGGACUUUGUUAUUGCCCUGGAUCAUGUGUUUCACCCUCAAGGGUCCAAAAUAGACUCGUUGAGCAUCUGGUUCAAGGAAAGCAGUCAAACUAUCAUUUAUAAGAGCUAGCGAGUAUAAUCCUGCACUUGAAUUCGAUGGCGACACAUUUGCUGUCAGCUUUUGCCCACAAACUAGUGCCUGCCCUGGAACUAAUGUGUCUGUUGGGUGAUCAAAAGACUGCCAGACUGUCUCAUUGUUUCCGUCGAAAAGCACAAGGUUUCCCUCUUCAGAUAACUUCAAUCCUGAAACAAAUUUUCCCGCGGUGUUGGUGUUCCAAACUGGAGUGCCAUCAAGAUCUUGAAGUAUCAAAUCCCCUUUUCAGAGAGUUGAAGUGUAGCUCUAAUUUUAACAGGAUUGUUUCGAUUGGCAGACCACACAAUUUUUGGAGAGAUGCUGGAAUUCCCGUUCAAAGUAUAGAUUUGGAAGAUGGAGACAGCAAAAAGGCACUCGCCUUCUGAACUUUCGCAGUGGAAACCGCAAACAAAAGUUCCACUGAUAAGGAUGGGCGUAACACCUGCGGAAUCCCAGAAGCCAAAGUCAAACACAGGAACGUUAAUCCAGGAAUUUGGAAGAUAAGCAACUGACGGAUAGGCGAUAUCUUGUGCAUUUAUCAAACAUGAUGACGAUGAGACGAGUAGAAUUAUUAAAAAAGGCAGUAGCAGAACCAGUAUUGUUUCCAAUGACCAUUACUUCAGCUCCAGCCUGCCUGAAAGAAUUCUUCUUAACAAAAUUGAAAGGAUCAAAUUACCAAGGCUGGCUUCCAAAUAAGUAAGCGUUGCCAGUUGCUGAAAAACAAGUGUGAAGAUCCAAUCCAGAAACACAAGAAAAGAAAGCUAGAGAACAGAAGGUUUUCGGUACUUGUAUUAACCUAUUAAUUGUGCCCUUAGAAAAGAAAAGGAGCAUGACAAUUCACGCGUUUAUGGUCCAAGUCAAUUGCCUUCGAAUGGCCGUCAACAAAGAUGUAUGGUAUGCUUACAUGGUUGCGCAAGGUACAUUGGAAGUAAAAAGUCCUUAUGUAUCGAAUGAUUGGAAUCGUACGUAAUCAUACCUUUGACAAAAGAGAAAAGUCAGUUAAACAGGAAAAUUAGUAUUUGAAUGAUUGGAAGGAUGAAACCAAACUUAGAAAAUUCUUUAACAAAAAUGUUUGAAAAAUAUUUUAAAAAUUUUUAAAUUUUUAAAUAAAUUUUUAUUUUUUUAUUACAUUCAAUUAUGUUCUUAUAUUUUUAUUUUUAAAUCAAGUAAGCUCUUAUAAUUAGUUAUUGUUAAUUAAUUUUCAAUAGUCAAAACUAUUAUUUAUCAUUUUAUACUCACAUAACACAGACAAUGCGUUAAUAUGGAGAGUGAAAAAUAUCGCAUGAUUAUAUCAUCAUGUCAAAUGUCACGUUAUAUAAUGUUAUUAUUAAUUAUGAUAUGUCGAUAUAUCACGUCAAGAUCACAUAGUGUAAAAUGAUAAAUAGUAUUUUGACUAAGUCAGCAAAAGUUUAUUUGACUUAGUAUAAAAAUAUAAGAGUUUAUUUAGUUCAAAAUUAAAAUAUAUAAGUUUAAUUUAAUGUAAUAAAAGAAUAAGAACUUAUUUAAAUUUUUUAAAAUAAUUUAGGGGCUUUUUUAUGUAUUAUGUCAAAAAUUCAUUUAUUAAAACUUGAAUUCAAACCUAAUAAAAUUUGAAAAAAUCCAUAUCCGAAUAAGUAUUUAUUUAACUUUUUUAAAUAGUUUAGAACUUUUUUCAAGUGUUAUGUCAAAAUUCAUUUACAAAAACUUGAAUUCAAACAUAAUUAAAUUUGAAAAGAUUCGUAUCCAAAAUAAUUUAAAUUCAAUAAAAAUUUCAAAUUCAACAUAAAUUCGAAAUUGAAAUUAAUAUGAUCCAAAAUCAUAAUAACAUGAACCUAACAUUAAAAAUAUAAAAUUUAAGAAAAAAUAACAUGAACCUCUAUUUCCUUAAAUUUUGAUGGUAAUAUAUUCUUGGCCCUCCAUUAAUAAUUUUUUUAUUUAAUGACGUAACAUAAAUUUUUAAAUAAUUUUACCAUGCAACCCAGUCAUAUCAAGUCAAUAACUCAGUAUAAGCGAACAAAGAAAAUAGGUAAACUUUCUGGAUGAACAAAGAGAACAGGGGAGCCAACCAAAAUUGAAAAGAGCAAGAAUUAAUAUAUCAUCAGAAAGACAUUAGGUAAAAAAAAGUCCAAAAAAAUCAAACACUUUGUACUGUGACCAACAUAAAAUUGGAAACAAUAAAAUCUAACAUAAAUGAAUGGUGCAUGAGUAUUGAUUUGAAAUAUUGAUAAUUUGCAAAAGCAAAAGGAUUAGGUGAAGUUGAAGAAGCUUUGACCAGGAACAAGGUAACGUUUAUUAGGAUGAUUCAAAUAACAUAAGUAGAAGAUAUUCCAGUUAACUAAGACAUAAGGAAAUCAUAACAGAAGAAACAAACCAGCACAUGCCAAGUCCUUUGAGUAUACAACAACAUCAUCUUCUUCAUUGGCUACUAAGGUAUCUUAAAAAGAUUUUAGGAGACUACACAAAUCCAACAAUGAAAUGUCUGCAUGCAUAAAUUCGAACAUUAGUUUGAAAUUAUUCCGACAAGGUUUGACAUUUCAAAUACAAGGAAUCUUGAAGAGCUCGUUAGCUUCACAUUACAAAGUCUCCGAAUAAUUCUGGGAGCAUAUUAUAUUAUAUAUUCCAAGCAUAAUGAACGAAAAGUUGUAAGGGACGCAGAAAAAUCUGCCAUGACUGAAGCUUCUGAAAAAGGGUUUUGAUCUCUUAACAUCAUAUACAAAUUCCAUGAACAAACUUUCAUUUUUCUCUGGUCCAUAGGUUAGAAAAAAAUUUACAAGUAUCCUUAGUCUUACCUCAGUGUCUGCCUCUCCUUUGUUGCAAAAGCAGUACGCCCUUCCUGCCAGAAAAAUUAAAGACAUCUACAAUUAUGAGAAAGUAGGCAGUGACUGAAGUGUUACUAGAAUCUAAUAUUGAGAAACAAUUUUUUAAAUUGACAUUAAAAAAAAAUAGAAAUAUAGCUAAAUUAAAUGUAUGGUAUACUGACGUACCAUGUGAAAGAAGAGGGAAAGAAGCUAGUUCCACUGAUAAGCCAAAGUCAAAGACAGGAACGUUAAUUCAAGAAUUUGGAGGAGGAGCAACUGACGGAUUGGCGAUAUCUCCUGCAUUUAUCAAAAAUGAUGGUGAGGAGAUGAGUAGAAUUAUUAGAAGGGCAGCUAGCAGCAGAAGCAGUAUUUCUUCCAAUGGCCAUUGCUUUACCUCCAGCCUCCCUCAAAGAACUCUCUUUAACAACAUUGAAAGGAUCAAAUUACCAAGGCUGGUUUCCAAAUAAUUAAGCAAGUGUUGCUAGUUGCUAAAAAACAAGUGUGAAGAUCCAAGACGCAAACACAAGAACAGAAAGCUAGAGAGAGAACAAAAGGUUUUCAGUGCUUGUAUUAAUUAUGCCCUUAGAAAAGAAAAGCAGGAUGACGAUCCACGCGUUUAAGGUCCAAGUCAAUUUCCUUGCGUGUUUGUGAAAGGUAGAAAGGUCCUUAAGAUAAUAUUACAGUAAAGACGUUAGAUUGUAGAGAGCAGAGUUGAGAAUUACACCAAUCAACACCCCUAUGAUACAAGAUUUUUAAUGUUACAUCUCUCACCAUCAUCGCAUAUAAAAGAAAACACUGGACCUACAACGAGGAAUAAAAAAUACAUAAAAACUAAAUGUGAAAAAUGCUCCAACACUUUUUUAAUAAAACCGCCCCAACUGCCUUGUACCUGCCUCUGCCUGUGGUUCAAUUUGCAGAGGGGUCUUCGUUUCCAAGGGCCCACAUGAGUUUCGAAUGAGAUCCAUUGGAGCAACCCUCCUUCUUUUAUGAACAUUGAAUAACUCACUUGCCCGUGGCCUCAGUAUACAACAACAAGAAAUGUCAUAGCACUCAAUCGAUUCAGCAUUGACAACAACCUACGCAGGCCACAACAAAAUAAUAUUAGAAUUCUAUUACUUGAAUGUUGUUAACAGUUUUCCCAUCAUACACACUCCUAUAUCCACCAUAAAACCAUAGCCCACAACGUUCAAUUACGCAUGGGAUAAUAAUUUUUCUUAAACAAUUAAAAUUCACAAAUUUAACUUUUAUGAAUAACAACAUACUUGGUUUUACUUCCAUAUUAAUCAAUCAAUUAUGUUCAAAAUGGAUAAAGAAACAACAAAUGACACAAUGCAACACCAAUUCUAACAUGCUUGUUCAAUAUUAAAGUAAAAUUUUGUCACCUAAACCAUUUAUGAAAUUAAUAAUUAAUUAUUUGAAAUAAAAAAAUUCAUAACAAUAAUAAUAAUAAUAAACUGACCAUCGCAUUUUUCUUUUGCUUGUCCCCUCCUCCAGCCAUAGACUCAGCUUUUGAUUUAAAGAAAUAUUCAAGUCUAAAUUAGAAUAACUAGAAAUGUAGCAAAUUAUAAAUGUUGUUUUUAAUAAAAAAAGUUUUAUUAAUACUUAAAUGAAAUGCUGGUGAAGUUAGCGUUUGGAUGUUGAAAUGAUCAUUUUUUUUCUUUGAUCGGUUCUUCAUGUCUCACUCUAAAGUGAAGAAAAAGAUUUAAAGAAAUCUUAAAUUAGAUAUCUAAAUUUUAAUUAAUUAAUUUACCCAUAUGAAUAUGAAUCCGUGAAGUGAAUUCUCCAAAUAAAUUUUAAUUAAUUUAUUUACUCAUUUGAAUUUGCGAAGCGAAUUGUUUAAGUAAGCUCUUGUUGCAAACGCUACGGUCCAAAUCACUAUGACACCAUUGUUUCCUUUAUUUUUUUUCCAUGAAGCAGCACAAGUCAUUGUUUCAUUUUUAUUUUUUUUAUUUUUUUCCAUAAAGCAGCACAAGUCAUUGUUUCAUUGAUCUUAUUCAACUUUUUUAUUUUGGCCAUUUUAAAGUUAUUUUUUAUACAUUUUAAUUAAAUUGUGUGUGUACUAAUUGCACCUUUUCAAGAUAACGGCCAACAAUAUUCAAUAUGCAUCUACCUUACAGUCAUCUAAAUUGUGACGUCUCAAAGUUUCAAAGCAAAGGCUGAUAUGAAACUUUCUACUAGUAUUUUAUUUCAUUUAUUCAGCAAAUACUCUGCAUGGUUAUUUGCAACAAAGUUGUGUACAUAUUUGACCAAUUGUGUUAAUUCAUUUAUGAUAGAUAGGUUAACCAUUUGCACUUACAAAAGGAGGAAUUUAUGGCAACCAAUCAGAAUACCACAUAUACCAUACAAAAAAUAGAAAAUAAAAACGAAACAAAACAAUACUAUUCCAUUUGAAUGAAUGAAUGAAAUGGAUAUAUGAUUAGCUAGAGUCAGCAAAAGAGUUCUGCGCAAAAAUAGGAAUAUCCUCUACUGGUUUCUGCAUCCCCUCAUCCAUCUUCUCUAUGCAGCUAAAGUGCAAGAGGUUGCGGAGCAAGAUGUUUACGUAAAUACAUGGCUUAUCAAGAUUCCAAGGGCCCCUCCUCCAGGCUUCUGCAACCACUUCCAAACAGUCAACAACCCAUUUCCAUCCCCUGUGAAGAAAAUGGGGAAAAGGCCCUCUACCAAUCACUCUAACUUCUUGUUUUGAAAAUAACCUGCCUCUCUCAGUGAACCUGGGACACAAAAGAUAAAUUUUCAUUAAUCAGUACCCAAGAGGAACUUGUGGAGAUAACAAAGCUUCUAACCAACCUAACAGAAACAUGGAGACUUAUACUCACAAUGGCAAGUCAUACAGGUGAAAAGUGUUGUCAUUGCAGGAGCAGAGCAAAGCUGGUUUAGUGUCUGCAUCAUUCAUGCCACAAAGAGCUAGCACGCCCUGCAUGCAGAAACAGUUCAUAUUAGCUCAUGCUCAAUGAUAAAUCCAUUAUCACCAUUACCGCAAACAAAAGGUCAACCUUAGAUUAAAAAAACAUAUCAGAGAAAUGCAAGCCAUGCAUUUACAGAUACUAUAAACUGAAUUGAUUAAUGAAAGCAACAUAAAAUUCAAACAUUUUUCCCUAUCAUUUACUAGCAGUAAACCAGAAGCACUUCUUUAAAUAUCAUAAUAGGAUAAAAAUAUGGCCAACCAAUGGGACACCUCCAUCUUGCAAAAUUAUGGUGCUAUCAUAACCAUUCAACAUUUUGAAAUCAAUGAGGAACACUAUCUAUAUUACUAAUUUUUGGUUUCUUGUUGCUGUUUGUAUUUCAUUCCGUAUGCUUUUCUUAGUUCUGGUGGGUAAACUAGAGUCCUCUUCACUGCAAAUUGCUCAUCUCUCAGCCUUAUGGGUCACAACCAACCUCAGAUGUUCAGAGCUUCAGACAAAUGCUAAUCCGAACAAUACAGAACUCAUCAUUUUAACCAAGCUAAGCCUACACAAUGACCAUACAUGCACCCCCACCCACCUCUUCUCUCUUUCCAAGAGAAAAAUAUAAGUUCAAAUUAUUUGCCUGCUAAUAUUGAAGGCUUUCCCAUAACUUGGGAAAUUCAGUUUAUAAUUAAUGCACCUCAAAGGUUCCUUGACUAGCAGUUAAUCAAUUGAAUAGCACUCUGAAUAUAGCAACAUUCAAUCACCCAGAUGAGAAGUGAUUGUUUUCCUUGUUACUAGUUCCUCAAGAACACUGUGACUGUCAGACACAUUUAGUGUGAUGCUGUUGAUCCAUUACUAACCAUGACUGUACAUACAGAUAUAGUAGUCAAGUAAUAAACACACUGACAAUGGUUGUAAAUAUGCAAAUAAAAGCCAAGCAUUAAACACAAUUAGAUUAUAUAUCUAAAUACAUUAAGGAAGUGUGACAAAGGAACAUACAUUUUCUUCCUUAUGAGUAUAGAUCACUCCACAAUUUUCUCCUUCUGUAGCAAACCAAACUUUUAUACUGCAGUCCAGUUAGCAGGAGAACAAACACCCAUUACAAUGAAGAAGAGACAUCACAGCAUCCUCAUGUCCAUUUAACGUCUUAAUGCACUGCAAUGUGUCCAUGUCCCAGACCUGGUCAAGUGUAAAAAAAUAGUACAUAAUAAAACAGCAAUAGCUAAAUAAUUUAAAAAUUGCUCAAAUAGCAUAGCCAAUGGAGCUGUGUGGUGAGUCACUUGGUUCCAAAAGGUUGAUCAUUUAAUUGCUGUCAAAAGGACUCACAGAUUGAUUUCAAUUUACAAACAUACAUAUAGAAAGCCCCAGGUUUUAGCUUAUCAGCUCAACCUUAUAGUGCGAUCAACAGAACCAGAAUAUAACUUAUUUUCUCAGACAGUUAAAAAUAGUACAGCACCAGAGUGGGCCCCAAGGAUGGAACCAGUUGAAAAGGAUUGGCCUCAGAACUGCCUUUCCAUGCAAAAAAAACACCAUUCUACAACCACCCAAAUGAAUAAUUGAGUAACUCAUCUUCAACCAAAGAAAAUCAAAUCUAAGACUGUGGUAAGUAAUGAUUCACGAAAGAUGGAUUAGAAUCAGGCCAUCACCUGUGCCCCAGCAAAAAGCAGGUUAUUAGCAACAACCAUAGAAUAUACUUGUCCAACAGGCCCUUUUAGACUAGACAUCUACUGUCCCAAUAUCCCAUGCCUACACGAACAUCCAGCUGCCUCUAAUUAGUCCAAACUGUCACAAACUAAACUGUACAUAAAAAGGAUUAUAGAUAGAUCCAACCAAAGAUAAGCAUCAGCUAUUAUCCAACCUUAAUAACACCUUUCAUGCCAGUGAACACCCAUGAGCCCUCAGUAAUCAAAGAACCAACUUCAUCACCAAGAUUACUCAAAUGAGCACACUUUCCAAAGUGGCAGUCCCAUGUCCGUACAGUUCCAUCACUACUGCCAGAAUAGAGCUUCUCAGACUCUAGAGGAAGGGCAUUCCACAAACAGCCUGUGAUAUAAAAAAAAAUUAUAUAUUAGAUAAAAUUAUAAAAUUUUUCUUUGUUCUGUAUAUACACCAAAUUACUGACAAUAACCACCUUCUUGUGGCCCUCCAGCUUUGCCAACAUCGUGAAUCCAUCCCCACGAUACCAUGAAUGCAAAUAUCAGCAUUUAUCGCCUCUGGCACAGUAGCCUGACAUCCAGUACUUGCAAACUUUAUUUUCUUGCUCUCGGACCUUUGGAGUAGAAACAUAUGAAUUCUUAGGGCGAUGAUUGGAGUUCUUUCUUGAGAGAUCUUCUGAUAUAGCAUGGUAUGGCUUGGCAUUUCUAGGGUAAACAUCAAUAUUCGCAGCUUCUCCUUUACGUCGAACAGGAAGUCUUUCUACACUGUCAUCAUCAUAUCUUCUGGCUGCUCGUCUAAUUCCCAUGCUAUAGACAAAAGAUGCAUACAAAUCAAUUACAGUUUCUUCAGAACAUGAUCCAAAUACCAAUUCGGUUCCUUCAAAUUAUAUCCAAACUUAGAACCGAUUUUAAAUCAGGUAAAUCCACAAGCUUUGACAAGUUAAAUCUUUAGAAGAAGAUCCAAAACAUAUCAAAUCAACUCCUUUGAAGAAGGUCCAAACU
RNAcentral lists this long non-coding RNA (13637 nucleotides) under Theobroma cacao (cacao). RNAcentral's name for it is "long non-coding RNA (TCAC_LNC000154)". The record is from RNAcentral. Lineage: Eukaryota; Viridiplantae; Streptophyta; Magnoliopsida; Malvales; Malvaceae.